This 1143-nucleotide ribosomal RNA is filed under the name uncultured bacterium. RNAcentral describes it as "bacterial SSU rRNA". It matches the Rfam family "Bacterial small subunit ribosomal RNA", at positions 144 to 1297 of the family's 1533-position model. The record is from RNAcentral.
UCGUGACUGGGACCGACUAAUACCCCAUGGCAUUGAUUUCAGGCAUCUGUUAUCAAUUAAAGAAUUUCGGAAACGGAUAGGCUCGCGUGACAUUAGCUAGAUGGCGGGGUAACGGCCCACCAUGGCGACGAUGUCUAGGGGUUCUGAGAGGAAGGUCCCCCACACUGGAACUGAGACACGGUCCAGACUCCUACGGGAGGCAGCAGUGAGGAAUAUUGGUCAAUGGUCUGACGACUGAACCAGCCAUGCCGCGUGAAGGUGACGGCCCUAUGGGUCUUAAACUUCUUUUGUAAGGGAGCAAUAAGGUCUACGUGUAGAUUGAUGAGAGUACCUUACGAAUAAGCAUCGGCUAACUCCGUGCCAGCAGCCGCGGUAAUACGGGGGAUGCAAGCGUUAUCCGGAUUUAUUGGGUUUAAAGGGUGCGUAGGCGGUCUGGUAAGUCAGCGGUGAAAUUUAGGGGCUCAACCUCUACCGUGCCGUUGAUACUGUCAGGCUAGAAUGCGGAUGCCGUGGGAGGAAUGUGUGGUGUAGCGGUGAAAUGCAUAGAUAUCACACAGAACACCGAUUGCGAAGGCAUCUCACGAAUCCGCGAUUGACGCUGAUGCACGAAAGCGUGGGGAUCAAACAGGAUUAGAUACCCUGGUAGUCCACGCUGUAAACGAUGAUGACUAACCGUCGGCGAUACACAGUCGGUGGCCAAGCGAAAGCGAUAAGUCAUCCACCUGGGGAGUACGACCGCAAGGUUGAAACUCAAAGGAAUUGACGGGGGCCCGCACAAGCGGAGGAACAUGUGGUUUAAUUCGAUGAUACGCGAGGAACCUUACCCGGGCUCGAACGGCAGAUGAAUUGAGUAGAGAUAUUCAAGUCUUCGGACAUCUGUCGAGGUGCUGCAUGGUUGUCGUCAGCUCGUGCUGUGAAGUGUCGGCUUAAGUGCCAUAACGAGCGCAACCCUUGCCGUUAGUUGCCAUCAGGUUAUGCUGGGGACUCUAGCGGGACUGCCACCGCAAGGUGUGAGGAAGGGGGGGAUGACGUCAAAUCAGCACGGCCCUUACGUCCGGGGCGACACACGUGUUACAAUGGUGGGUACAGAGGGAAGCUACCUGGCGACAGGAUGCAGAUCUCGAAAACCCAUCCCAGUUCGGA